This 419-nucleotide ribosomal RNA is filed under the name uncultured bacterium. RNAcentral's name for it is "bacterial SSU rRNA". It matches the Rfam family "Bacterial small subunit ribosomal RNA", at positions 355 to 787 of the family's 1533-position model. The record is from RNAcentral.
UGGGGAAUAUUGGGCAAUGGGCGAAAGCCUGACCCAGCAACGCCGCGUGAGGGAAGAAGGGUUUCGGCUCGUAAACCUCUGUCCUAUGGGACGAAGGAAGUGACGGUACCAUAGGAGGAAGCCCCGGCUAACUACGUGCCAGCAGCCGCGGUAAUACGUAGGGGGCGAGCGUUGUCCGGAAUGAUUGGGCGUAAAGGGCGCGUAGGCGGCCUGCUAAGUCUGGAGUGAAAGUCCUGCUUUCAAGGUGGGAAUUGCUUUGGAUACUGGUGGGCUGGAGUGCAGGAGAGGAAAGCGGAAUUACCGGUGUAGCGGUGAAAUGCGUAGAGAUCGGUAGGAACACCAGUGGCGAAGGCGGCUUUCCUGGACUGAAACUGACGCUGAGGCGCGAAAGCGUGGGGAGCAAACAGGAUUAGAUACCC